AAGUCGGAAGCCGGAGAGUGUGAAGGCGGAAAGGAAGAAAUCCACUCUGUGAGUUCCUUUACAUGGCUCCGUCGAUAGCUAUGACUGCCAAAAUUAUUCACAUAACAAUCUGGGAAACAUAAACGUGAACUAGAUAGUAGACGAUUGGGGAUCUUGUUAACUUUCUACCAAAGAUAACUUUGCACAGACUUUCGGAGUUGCUCAUCUCAAGCACUGAGAACCGAGCCCAAGAGAGAGGCAGCUGAGGAAAGAAGGGAACCUUUACACGGUUUCUGCGGGUGGAGAGCAGCACAGGUGAUCGGCGCAGAGGGAACGGGAAGUAGAACGUCAGCACACCAUGGAACAUGGAGCAGCUCUUAGAAGUUCAGGCUCUGUGGAGGACACAGUACGGGCAAGGCUUAAAACUGGCGGUGGGGAGGUGACCACAACGGAGAGAAAACCGUGGUGAGGCCUGGUACCCACGACAGAGCCAGCCGUGAGGGUGCGUGACCCACGGCGCCCCUCCCAGGCUGCUGAGCAGCUCUCCUGCUGGGGCCCCCACCCGGGAAGGGGGCUCCUGCGCUCCCCCUGCUCACCUGACCAUGUCCUGCCCCUGUGGAUGCCGAGCUCCUGGAAUGUUUUCUGCCUCAUUAUCCUUUGCUUCUGCGCUAAAAAGCCAUGAGCUGUUUGUCCUCUGACAGGCCCCUCAUCGACACCACCUUGUCUUGGAGCCAGCUGACUCUGGACUGAAACCGCUACAAACAAACCAUGAGCCAAAAUCCAUGCCGGGAAGGCCCAGAGGUCAACGGUAGAAAACAGGAAGUCCAUGCCAGUGGGGUGAAGGAGCUAUGCUGGAUCUGAGAAGUCGUGUGACACUCACAACAAAGACCAGGGCUGUCCUGAAAAACACCACAGCCAUCCUCAGUGAUACGGAGGCCCAGAGCUCCUCUGAUGACAAGCACAGUCAAGUACCUGCCAGGAAGCAGCGUGACGAGUUCCUUACCAGAGCCAGGAAGCAAUGUUUGAUGUGAGGACCAGAGCUUCUCCAGGAGAACCAACGGCUCAAACAGCAACUUGUAGGAGAACCCACAAUGCCACAAUACCUCAACCCAAAUAGCUUCUCUUUCUCCAUUUUUAUGCUGGCAACUUUCCUCAGGUGAACAUCUAUGCUCAGCACCAUGCUGAUGUAAUCCAGCUGCCAUUAAGUUGACCACCAGUUCUUAAUCCAUAACAGGAACUGAGUAAAGUCAUUUUCUGAGCAUAUUGCCUAGAGCAGCGUGCGCAUCCUGGGUGUUGUACAAAGAGUGAACAGGACACAGCCUUGGGCCCGUUCCAUUCAUUUGUUCAUUCAUUCUUCAGUCAGUCACUUCCUUACUUGGUGACAGACGCUGGAUGUCCAGUGUGGACACAAUCAGUACACGCCCUGAUCUCACAGGGUUCCCACCCUGUGAACAGCUAUGAACACUGCAAGCGCUCUGGGAAGGGGAGUUGGUGAGUGCUGUGGAGAUAGAGCGAGCAAGCUCAUGAUUCCUUAGUGGAUAUUGGGCUAAGGUAUUAUUUUCUCACUUUACUGUUUGUUGUUAACCUAACAGUGAGAAGAUGGAGGGGUAAAUCAUAGCUUUUCACGUUUUGAAGGGUAUAUGAACCACACUAUGCUUCUAAUAAACUCCCUCUGGGAACAAGAGACCUGAAUCACCUGCCCCAAGGUCAUACUGGGAAAGGUCAUGCUGGUAAUGGUCAGUGCAGAUUUACCGCUAGUUUCAGCCCAACUCUGAGGCUGGUACUUUUGUCAUCUCUGAGAGAUACUAACCCACCGUCUUGUGAAGUUCUAAAAUUCUGGCUCUAAAUUCACUAUGGUGAUGCAUACCUGUAAUCCCAGCACUCAGGAGGCUGAGGCAGGAGGACUGCCACAAGUUAAAGGCGAACCUGUACUACACAAGCUUACACUGUAGAGCAAGACACUGUCUCAAAAAACUUUUUUUUUGUCUUUUUUUGAGACAGGGUCUCACGCUAUGCAGUUCAGGCUGGCCUUGAGCUCACUUGGUAGCCCGGGCUGUUUUGUUGUUUUUUGUUUAAAGAAGUUUGGUAUUUUCUGGUGCUUGAGCUACUCCAGUGAAGGAAUAUUAGAGAUGCCUGGGCGUUUUCUUGGGUUGAAAGAAAGUCACAGAGUACAGUAGAAGACAGUGUCUAUAAUUACAAAACCCUUAUAUGGCACUGCAAAGAGUUCCUGCUGUAGCCUGGAAAGAUGGAAAACACUCUCUGGAGCCCUACUCCAGGUGGGCCUGGUGUGCACAGCUACAAUCCCAGCGCUCUGGGAGGUUGAGACAGGAGGGUCCAAAUUCGAACCCAGACUGAAUAUUUUAAUCCUUUAGCAAGACCCUGUCUCAAAAUUAAAACCAAAACCAAAACAAAACUUAAAAAAGCCAAAGGGCUGGGGAUGUAGCUCAGUGCAAAGGCCCUGGGUUCAAUUGCUUGUACUAAAUAAAGACAACUUGCUAUGGAGGAGGCUAGGGUGAGCAAACAGAGAUGGGACUUCUUGUAAAAACAGUAACCUCAGAGGAAACCUGUCACCAUGAACUGGGCCCUUUUCGAUUUUUACAAUGACCUUGAUGGAGAUGUGUCACCCACACUCAGCAAUAAGAAAAAGGUAGCUAACAGUGACCUGAAGAAGCUCAGUCUGCUCUGGGCCUGGCUGGGUGCAGUGGCAGAGCCAGGACAAUGCUGGGCAGGAGCAGGAGAGAACCCAGGAUGGCACCCCUGGGGGCCACAGCCACAGAGCCAGGAGAGCCGAGGGCUGAGGGGAAGCACAGAGCUGAUGGGCAGUGAGCUGGCAGGAGAGCUGUGAGGUGACGGCUGCUGUCCCUCAGCUUCUGGAGAAGGAGGGAAGAGAGCGUGAGCAGGGGGCAGGAGUUCUGGGUGUAGCCAAGAAAUGAAACUGAAGAUUGGGCAUAGUGGUGCACACCUGUAAUCUCAGCACUCUGGAGGCUGAGGCGGGAGGACUGCCAUGAGGUGGAGGACAGCCUGGGUGCCUAUAAAUUCCAGGUCAACCUGUACUACGAGCUAGAUGCUGUCUCCAACAAAACAAACAAGCAAGCAAACAAAAACCAGGUUUUUAAAAAGCAUGUUGAAGGUGUAGCUUAGUGAUAGAGCCCUUGUACUAGAAAAAUGAAAAACAGGAAAGGAGCUAGAGAAGGAUCCCUAGGGAAGGCUCUGUUUCCUCGAUGUGGCUGUGGAAGGAACCAGUGGAGGGAAACACUGGCCAUGCAAAGGACAAAGUGACCUAUGGAGCAACAUCCUUAGGUCUUGCAGAGGUGCACGAAGGCUAGGUGAGGCACAGGCAUGCCCAGGAGUAGGCGGGCAGGAGGGCACACUGCUGGUGUACUAGUGGGUGGAACACGCAGCAUCCUCUUCCUGUUGCUUCUGCCUGCUGCCACAUGUGUGUGCACCGUGGUACCAUUUUCACCCAUGUUAGGCCCACUUUAAACUGAGCGUGGUGGCACGAACUUGUAACUCCAGCACUUGGGAGACUAAGGCAAGAGAGUGGCUGAGAGUUCAAGGCCAGCCUGGACUACACAGCAAGAUUUUAUCUCAAAAAAAAAAAAAAAAAAAAACCCAGAAAGAAGAUAAAAGUAAGACCUUUCUUAAAAUUUUUAAUAAAACAAACAAACACCACGGUGGGGGCUGGAGGGUGAUAGAGCACAUUUUUUCCCCAUUUUUAACAUCUGUGAAAUUGGGGAAGAAAUUUAAAACCAAUAAAGUGUUGCACUCUUGA
Molecule: long non-coding RNA, 3751 nt
Organism: Cavia porcellus (domestic guinea pig)
Lineage: Eukaryota; Metazoa; Chordata; Mammalia; Rodentia; Caviidae
Exons: 3
Source: RefSeq, a predicted model, not a curated record